RNAcentral lists this ribosomal RNA (737 nucleotides) under uncultured bacterium. RNAcentral describes it as "bacterial SSU rRNA". It matches the Rfam family "Bacterial small subunit ribosomal RNA", at positions 28 to 762 of the family's 1533-position model. The record is from RNAcentral.
AUUGAACGCUGGCGGAAUGCUUUACACAUGCAAGUCGAGCGGCAGCGCGGGGGCAACCCUGGCGGCGAGGGGCGAACGGGUGAGUAAUGCAUCGGAACGUACCCAGUAAUGGGGGAUAACUGUCCGAAAGGACAGCUAAUACCGCAUACGCCCUGAGGGGGAAAGCGGGGGAUCGCAAGACCUCGCGUUAUUGGAGCGGCCGAUGUCGGAUUAGCUAGUUGGUGGGGUAAAGGCCUACCAAGGCGACGAUCCGUAGCUGGUCUAAGAGGACGACCAGCCACACUGGAACUGAGACACGGUCCAGACUCCUACGGGAGGCAGCAGUGGGGAAUUUUGGACAAUGGGGGCAACCCUGAUCCAGCCAUUCCGCGUGAGUGAAGAAGGCCUCGGGUUGUAAAGCUCUUUCGGCAGGGAAGAAAAGGCGGGCUCUAACAUAGCCUGUUCAUGACGGUACCUGAAGAAGAAGCACCGGCUAACUACGUGCCAGCAGCCGCGGUAAUACGUAGGGUGCGAGCGUUAAUCGGAAUUACUGGGCGUAAAGCGUGCGCAGGCGGUUUUGUAAGACAGGUGUGAAAUCCCCGGGCUUAACCUGGGAACUGCGCUUGUGACUGCAAGACUGGAGUGCGGCAGAGGGGGGUGGUAUUCCACGUGUAGCAGUGAAAUGCGUAGAGAUGUGGAGGAACACCGAUGGCGAAGGCAGCCCCUGGGUCGACACUGACGCUCAUGCACGAAAGCGU